RNAcentral lists this ribosomal RNA (254 nucleotides) under uncultured bacterium. RNAcentral's name for it is "partial 16S ribosomal RNA". It matches the Rfam family "Bacterial small subunit ribosomal RNA", at positions 524 to 776 of the family's 1533-position model. The record is from RNAcentral.
UACGUGGGGUGCGAGCGUUGUCCGGAAUUAUUGGGCGUAAAGAGCUCGUAGGCGGUGUGUCGCGUCGGCCGUGAAAACCUGCAGCUUAACUGUGGGCUUGCGGUCGAUACGGGCAUCACUGGAGUUCGGCAGGGGAGACUGGAAUUCCUGGUGUAGAGGUGAAAUUCGUAGAUAUCAGGAGGAACACCGGUGGCGAAGGCGGCCACCUGGACGGUAACUGACGCUGAGGCGCGAAAGCGUGGGGAGCAAACAGG